Molecule: non-coding RNA, 26 nt
Filed under: Mus musculus (house mouse)
Lineage: Eukaryota; Metazoa; Chordata; Mammalia; Rodentia; Muridae
Source: RNAcentral
GAAGUUCCUAAGAGAGCAGCCCUCAC